RNAcentral lists this transfer RNA (75 nucleotides) under Vicinamibacteria bacterium. RNAcentral describes it as "tRNA-Gly". It matches the Rfam family "tRNA". Rfam says of the family: Transfer RNA (tRNA) molecules are approximately 80 nucleotides in length. Their secondary structure includes four short double-helical elements and three loops (D, anti-codon, and T loops). RNAcentral also lists the same sequence under 1 other name. Lineage: Bacteria; Pseudomonadati; Acidobacteriota; Vicinamibacteria. The record is from RNAcentral.
GCGGGAGUAACUCAGUGGUAGAGUGCCACCUUGCCAAGGUGGACGUCGCGGGUUCGAAUCCCGUCUCCCGCUCCA